This 490-nucleotide ribosomal RNA is filed under the name uncultured bacterium. Its description in RNAcentral is "partial 16S ribosomal RNA". It matches the Rfam family "Bacterial small subunit ribosomal RNA", at positions 30 to 507 of the family's 1533-position model. The record is from RNAcentral.
AUUGAACGCUGGCGGCAGGCCUAACACAUGCAAGUCGAACGGUAACAGGAAGCAGCUUGCUGCUUUGCUGACGAGUGGCGGACGGGUGAGUAAUGUCUGGGCAACUGCCUGAUGGAGGGGGAUAACUACUGGAAACGGUAGCUAAUACCGCAUAACGUCGCAAGACCAAAGAGGGGGAGCUUCGUGCCUCUUGCCAUCGGAUGUGCCCAGAUGGGAUUAGCUAGUCUGUGGGGUAACGGUUCACCUAGGCGACGAUCGCUCGCCGGUCUGAGAGGAUGAGAGGCCACACUGGAGCUGGGACACCGUCCAGACUCCUACGGUAGGCAGCAGUGGGGAAUAUUGCACAAUGGGGGCAAGCCUGAUGCAGCCAUGCCGCGUGUAUGACGAAGGCCUUCGGGUUGUAAAGUACGUUCAGCGGGGAGGAAGGGAGUAAAGUUAAUACCUUUGCUCAUUGACGUUACCCGCAGAAGAAGCACCGGCUAACUCCGUG